GGUUUUUGAGUAUGAGGAAGUAGAAACCAAGAGUGAGAUCUAUAACAGGUGAGUCUGAACUGGAAAAUUAAACGUGAGCAACCCUGAAUGCUGGCGAAAAUUCCAACUUCACAGCCAACCCAGGAUUCAUACUCCUUUCUGGUGCGUGUGAGACUCUGAGAGAAAGAGUCACCUAGAGAUUUGAACUUUGGUGGAAAAUCAGCUGACUGCCCAGAAGUCGUGGAGUGGGCAUGGGAUGGAGGAAAGGAGACCUGUGAUUCUUGCACAGCUCAGGAAAAGGCUACUGCCUGUACAGCCUCUGCAGCCUCACCACCAGAAGAGCACUGUGAAUGUUUAUGACAUGCAGGAGAUCGUAAGAGAAAAUAGCAAAGGCAAGUUGUGGAAUAAAAAUUGCAGAGUAUCCUCAGGCAAUCCAGCUGGCACAAGCAAUGGCAUCCUGCCUUUCUCCAUGCUACACAGCUUUGCCAUAACUGGAUGUCCCACGUGAGUGUGGACUGAACCAGAGUCUGGAUUCAUUAACUAAGUAGUCCUCGUGCAAUAAUGUCCUUGUCACCCUCCACUGAGGAGCAAAAGAAGCCUGAAAUGGGAGCAUCUCAUGUCCUGGACUUCUGCGGGAGCUCUGCAUUGUGUGAGCAUAACACUAAGUAAUUUCUUGUGUCUGUCAGAUUUAAUUGCAAGCAUUUUCAGAGCACAGCAAUGAAAUAGCUAGCAACAGAUCUCCAGUGCAAAACUAAUCUAUGCCACUCAUUUUUUUCAUCUUGAUACAGAUUUGAUACAGUGACAGACCAACUGCAUUAGAAAUUAGGCUUGGUGAGUAG
This 818-nucleotide long non-coding RNA is filed under the name Calidris pugnax (ruff). RNAcentral's name for it is "lncRNA (ENSCPUG00000002148.1)". The record is from RNAcentral. Lineage: Eukaryota; Metazoa; Chordata; Aves; Charadriiformes; Scolopacidae.